RNAcentral lists this ribosomal RNA (569 nucleotides) under uncultured bacterium. RNAcentral describes it as "partial 16S ribosomal RNA". It matches the Rfam family "Bacterial small subunit ribosomal RNA", at positions 355 to 920 of the family's 1533-position model. The record is from RNAcentral.
UGGGGAAUUUUGGACAAUGGGCGAAAGCCUGAUCCAGCAAUGCCGCGUGUGUGAAGAAGGCCUUCGGGUUGUAAAGCACUUUUGUCCGGAAAGAAAUCCUUGGCUCUAAUACAGUCGGGGGAUGACGGUACCGGAAGAAUAAGCACCGGCUAACUACGUGCCAGCAGCCGCGGUAAUACGUAGGGUGCAAGCGUUAAUCGGAAUUACUGGGCGUAAAGCGUGCGCAGGCGGUUUGCUAAGACCGAUGUGAAAUCCCGGGCUCAACCUGGGAACUGCAUUGGUGACUGGCAGGCUAGAGUAUGGCAGAGGGGGGUAGAAUUCCACGUGUAGCAGUGAAAUGCGUAGAGAUGUGGAGGAAUACCGAUGGCGAAGGCAGCCCCCUGGGCAAUACUGACGCUCAUGCACGAAAGCGUGGGGAGCAAACAGGAUUAGAUACCCUGGUAGUCCACGCCCUAAACGAUGUCAACUAGUUGUUGGGGACUUCAUUUCCUUGUAACGUAGCUAACGCGUGAAGUUGACCNCCUGGGGAGUACGGUCGCAAGAUUAAAACUCAAUGAAUUGACGGGGUC